Molecule: ribosomal RNA, 319 nt
Filed under: uncultured Bacteroidales bacterium
Lineage: Bacteria; Pseudomonadati; Bacteroidota; Bacteroidia; Bacteroidales
Description: partial 16S ribosomal RNA
Source: RNAcentral
GGAGUCUGGACCGUGUCUCAGUUCCAGUGUGGGGGACCUUCCUCUCAGAACCCCUAUCCAUCGUCGCCCCGGUGGGCCGUUACCCCGCCGGCUGGCUAAUGGAACGCAUCCCCAUCCUGUACCGAUAAAUCUUUCAUCAAACGACCAUGCGGACAUUUGACACAUGGAGUAUUAAUUUCCCUUUCGGGAGGCUAUCCUCCAGUACAGGGCAGGUCGGAUACGUGUUACUCACCCAUUCGCCGGUCGCCAUCAAAAGGACCGAAGUCCUCCCAUGAUGCCCCUCGACUUGCAUGUGUUAAGCCUGUAGCUAGCGUUCAUC